UAUACUCAGGGUUGGACACUUCGCUUUUCUUAAAAUAAGAACACUAGCGCCAUCUAUGCACGGACGUGGCGAAGCUUCUCGUAGUGAAACCUAACUUUUUGUGCCAUUACAUUUUUGGAGGAUCAAAAGUAGCGUCUGCUGUGAGGUCGGUGCAUUUGUAGGAACGAAAAAAGUUUUGUGAGCGAUGUGAUUAAACAUAAAAAAUGAAUAAAGAAAACAAGAAAUCGGCAAGUGUUAACUGAACUAAAGGAUCGACACACUGGGGUAUAACUUGAGCAAGGACGUAUCUACUGGAGAGCAUAUUAUUCUGCUGACUAGUUUGUACCUGAGUGCGCAUACGCAUCUAUUUACUUGGCCAGCAUCAAUCAAAUGGACACGAAUUCUAUAUACGCUAUGGGUAUGUGUCCCUUUCACUUGGACGAACGUUGCGGGCGUACGCGGUCUACCCACCGUCGAGCACUGUGUGGACGGAGACGCCUCCGACACGCCGCCGCCAUGUUGCUUAUACGUCAACGAAAAACGAGAGCGCCGUC
Molecule: long non-coding RNA, 533 nt
Organism: Leptopilina boulardi
Lineage: Eukaryota; Metazoa; Arthropoda; Insecta; Hymenoptera; Figitidae
Exons: 3
Source: RefSeq, a predicted model, not a curated record